AGCUAUUGAGCUUAUAUAUAGAGGCACAUAUUUAUGUAAUCUUUAUCCAAAUAGUGAAGAUGUAGCUAUUGAGCUUUGGAUCCGUAGACGUAAGGCUUCGGCUUGAACACGUAAAUCUUAUAUUAUCUCUCUUCGCUCUUCUUCUCUCUCGAUUAUCUUGUGUUAUCUCUCUUCUCUCUUCUUCUAUCUCCAUAUAUACUCCCACUAAAUUUUAACAGAUCCAAAUACUGGACAACGGGGUUUUUAUUUUUGUACUCAUCCGGCAUUGAUAGGAGGCUUCCAUUUAAAGUUUGGUGCGUUGUUGUCCGGUGUUCGAAAUACCAGACAACUAUUUUUGUACUCAUCCGGCAUUGAUAGGAGGCUUCCAUUUAAAGUUUGGCGCGUUGUUGUCCGGUGUUCGAAAUACCAGACAAUUAUUUGGGAUUUUUUACUUCAU
This 436-nucleotide long non-coding RNA is filed under the name Amborella trichopoda. RNAcentral describes it as "long non-coding RNA (ATRI_LNC002836)". Lineage: Eukaryota; Viridiplantae; Streptophyta; Magnoliopsida; Amborellales; Amborellaceae. The record is from RNAcentral.